GGGCAGGUGGCCGAGUGGUCGAAGGCGCACCCCUGCUAAGGGUGUGGGCGGGGAACCGUUCCGAGGGUUCGAAUCCCUUCCUGCCCGCCA
Molecule: transfer RNA, 90 nt
Filed under: Rhizobiaceae bacterium
Lineage: Bacteria; Pseudomonadati; Pseudomonadota; Alphaproteobacteria; Hyphomicrobiales; Rhizobiaceae
Description: tRNA-Ser
Rfam family: tRNA
About the family: Transfer RNA (tRNA) molecules are approximately 80 nucleotides in length. Their secondary structure includes four short double-helical elements and three loops (D, anti-codon, and T loops).
Source: RNAcentral